RNAcentral lists this long non-coding RNA (532 nucleotides) under Rattus norvegicus (Norway rat). Its description in RNAcentral is "long non-coding RNA NONRATT032736". Lineage: Eukaryota; Metazoa; Chordata; Mammalia; Rodentia; Muridae. The record is from RNAcentral.
GACUUCCUCCAAAACAUCCAGGGAAGUCUAAUGACUUCAAAACUAUAUGAUGAGUGGAUUGGUGUACCCGACAAGGUCAAUGAUGAAGAGAAAUUAGCCGCAGUGCAGAGUCUUUUAGAUAAAAUGCCACCUGAAAAUGCGGCUCUUCUGAGGCAACUUUUUUUUAUAUUAUAUGAAAUUAAAAAUAACUCUCCUUCUAAUGAAAUGUCUUCUUACCACCUAUCUGUUGGGUUAGCCCCAUGUCUCUUAUUCAUGCCCAGCUCCUGCAAUAAUGGAGUGACAUGAUAUUGGCAAAAAGAUUUCUCUAGUAGAAUUUAUGAUCGAAAAUUCUCCAAAAGUUUUUGGAGAGGACUUGGCUGCAGUGUGGCUUGGAACAUCACUAUAUCAUCCUCCUGGAGGAAAGUCCUCAUGUUCCCAGAAUAAUGCAACAAAUAUUGGAAACAUUAAGGAAACCGAACAUGGACUCAGCAGCUGCCCCACUGGGAGGAUAUGUACUCCUGGCUAUAACACACGGCCGAGAAGUCCAGCUGCU